This 376-nucleotide ribosomal RNA is filed under the name uncultured bacterium. Its description in RNAcentral is "bacterial SSU rRNA". It matches the Rfam family "Bacterial small subunit ribosomal RNA", at positions 524 to 898 of the family's 1533-position model. The record is from RNAcentral.
UACGUAGGUGGCAAGCGUUGUCCGGAUUUACUGGGCGUAAAGGAUGUGUAGGCGGAUACUUAAGUGAGAUGUGAAAGCCCCAGGCUCAACCUGGGGACUGCAUUUCAAACUGGGUAUCUAGAGUGCAGGAGAGGAAAGCGGAAUUCCUAGUGUAGCGGUGAAAUGCGUAGAGAUUAGGAAGAACAUCAGUGGCGAAGGCGGCUUUCUGGACUGUAACUGACGCUGAGGCAGGAAAGCGUGGGGAGCAAACAGGAUUAGAUACCCUGGUAGUCCACGCCGUAAACGAUGAGUACUAGGUGUAGGAGGUAUCGACUCCUUCUGUGCCGCAGUUAACACAAUAAGUACUCCGCCUGGGAAGUACGGUCGCAAGAUUAAA